UGAAACCUAGAAUUGGUAAUGUUAUAUUUGUUUCUUAGUGAGUAAAUGUAAAAUUGUUUUAUAUAUAGAAAGUUCAUAUAUCACUAAGUUCUUUUUGGAACACAAGAAAGGAAACAAAAGAAAUGUAGAAUCAUGUCUUUAUUUGUUUUUGAAUUGUUUUCACAAGAUACAUCUUUAGAAGUAUCAAAGCUUUUCUUAGAUGAGCUUUCACUCAACACAAAAGUUUGAAGCAAUGGUUAUUUUUCCAAGACCUAUGCAAAGAGAUCAAGAUGAGACAUAGAACACAAGUACUUUACAUUUUUCUACCUUUCUUAAGUUGCUAGUGUUCUUUGUGGUGAGCUAAACCUUUAUGUAUCUUAACAAGGUGAAGUUACUAUGUGGGCUUAAAUUGUCCUCUUUGAGAGCUUUUUGUUGGCAAUUGCUUCCUGCACCCGAUCAAUUGUGACUGGCACCCGACAAACUUUUUAAAAUCCCAUUAUGCCCUUGUCUUGCACAGAACAACAACAACACUACGGAAAAAAUUAUCCGCAAGUCAAAUGUCUCUUGUGGAUAAAAAUAUCCGGAGGCCAUUCUUCCACAACUGCGGAUAAAAAAAUCCGGAAGUCAAGUGCUCAACUAUGGAUAAAAAUAUCCAGAACCCAGUCCUGAACUGCGGAUAAAAAUAUCCGAAAUGCAAUAGUAAAUUACGGAUAAAAAUGUGCGGAGCUCAAUAAUGAAUUACGGAUAAAAAUAUCCGGUAGGCAUGACAUAGUACCUUUCUCUGACGAUGGUUUCUUCUCCGACUUCAGAAGCUGACGGUGGCGGCUGCUGCUCUGCCUACGAUGAUGAAGCUCACUGAUGGUGAAGGAAACCAAGGGAGACGACGACCGUGGAUGACGGUGGAUGACGGUGGCUAAGGGUGGCUGCGACUGGCUGCAGCUGCUGCUUCAAGCACAAAUGAACAAGAAAAAGAAUAGGGUUUGGUGCAUGAGGUUGGGUGCCUAUCACAUUUU
This 992-nucleotide long non-coding RNA is filed under the name Phaseolus vulgaris (common bean). RNAcentral's name for it is "long non-coding RNA (PVUL_LNC003689)". The record is from RNAcentral. Lineage: Eukaryota; Viridiplantae; Streptophyta; Magnoliopsida; Fabales; Fabaceae.